Molecule: ribosomal RNA, 253 nt
Filed under: uncultured bacterium
Lineage: Bacteria
Description: partial 16S ribosomal RNA
Rfam family: Bacterial small subunit ribosomal RNA
Source: RNAcentral
UACGUAGGGUGCUAGCGUUGUCCGGAAUUAUUGGGCGUAAAGAGCUCGUAGGUGGCGGGUCACGUCGGGUGUGAAAGCCCGGGGCUUAACCCCGGGUCUGCAUUCGAUACGGGUCUGCUGGGGUCCGGCAGGGGAGACUGGAAUUCCUGGUGUAGCGGUGAAAUGCGCAGAUAUCAGGAGGAACACCGGUGGCGAAGGCGGGUCUCUGGGCCGGUACCGACGCUGAGGAGCGAAAGCGUGGGGAGCGAACAGG